RNAcentral lists this ribosomal RNA (461 nucleotides) under uncultured bacterium. RNAcentral describes it as "bacterial SSU rRNA". It matches the Rfam family "Bacterial small subunit ribosomal RNA", at positions 8 to 496 of the family's 1533-position model. The record is from RNAcentral.
AGAGUUUGAUCCUGGCUCAGGAUGAACGCUGGCGGCGUGCCUAACACAUGCAAGUUGAGCGAUUUACUUCGGUAAAGAGCGGCGGACGGGUGAGUAACGCGUGGGUAACCUGCCCUGUACACACGGAUAACAUACCGAAAGGUAUGCUAAUACGAGAUAAUAUGCUUUUAUCGCAUGGUAGAAGUAUCAAAGCUUUUGCGGUACAGGAUGGACCCGCGUCCGAUUAGCUAGUUGGUAAGGUAACGGCUUACCAAGGCGACGAUCAGUAGCCGACCUGAGAGGGUGAUCGGCCACAUUGGAACUGAGACACGGUCCAAACUCCUACGGGAGGCAGCAGUGGGGAAUAUUGCACAAUGGGCGAAAGCCUGAUGCAGCAACGCCGCGUGAGCGAUGAAGGCCUUCGGGUCGUAAAGCUCUGUCCUCAAGGAAGAUAAUGACGGUACUUGAGGAGGAAGCCCCGG